This 431-nucleotide ribosomal RNA is filed under the name uncultured bacterium. RNAcentral describes it as "bacterial SSU rRNA". It matches the Rfam family "Bacterial small subunit ribosomal RNA", at positions 83 to 507 of the family's 1533-position model. The record is from RNAcentral.
UCCUGGUGGCGAGUGGCGAACGGGUGAGUAAUAUAUCGGAACGUCGCCCAGUCGGUGGGGAUAACGUAGACGAAAGUUACGCUAAUACCGCAUACGAUCUACGGAUGAAAGCGGGGGACUCGCAAGACCUCGCGCGAUUGGAGCGGCCGAUAUCAGAUUAGGUAGUUGGUGAGGUAAAGGCUCACCAAGCCGACGAUCUGUAGCUGGUCUGAGAGGACGACCAGCCACACUGGGACUGAGACACGGCCCAGACUCCUACGGGAGGCAGCAGUGGGGAAUUUUGGACAAUGGGCGCAAGCCUGAUCCAGCAAUGCCGCGUGCAGGAUGAAGGCCUUCGGGUUGUAAACUGCUUUUGUACGGAACGAAACGGUGAGCUCUAAUACAGUUUGCUAAUGACGGUACCGUAAGAAUAAGCACCGGCUAACUACGUG